This is a long non-coding RNA of Xiphias gladius (swordfish), 3880 nucleotides long. RefSeq lists it as uncharacterized. Lineage: Eukaryota; Metazoa; Chordata; Actinopteri; Istiophoriformes; Xiphiidae. The record is from RefSeq and is a predicted model, not a curated record. The transcript is spliced from 3 exons.
CAGUGGAGGAAACUGUUUAUUAAUCAGGAGCUACAAUGUGUGAUUCCACAGAUGCAGGUUGUUGAAUAAGACUUUGCAUUCAUACUUGUCGAUUCGUACGUCUUUCACAUUAUCGUUUAGUUUUUAGUUAUUGAUGAAAAAUGCAAUACAUUUAGUCAUAGUUCUUGUUUUUAAAGUUACUUUUUAUUUAGUUUUAGUCUGUUUUUGUCAUGAAAAAAAGGUGUCGGGGAAUUUUUUUUGUCAUAAUUUUCAUUAAAAAAUUAACAAAUGCCUCAAGGAAGCUCCAAAAGAUAUGCUCUCACCAGUGGGACCCUUGCCUGUGAACAAGCUAACCCAGCUAAUGCUAGCCCCAAUCCGCAGGACAGUGAACUUUCCAUGUAGCGAACAGCCUUAGCAGAUAAUGAUAUGAUGAUAGAGUCAGCCAAGAUGUCCAAACUAAUUAUAGACAUUGCUCUCAAAAUAGAAAACUGGAAAAAAUUCACCUAUGCAGUAGACACUAAGCUAAUGGAAAUUUCCAGCCACUUGUGUCAUGUCGAGAGCUGCUCUGCUUUCCUUCAGACUCUAAUCAGCAUUUACUAUAUGCCCCCACUGCAACCCACACAUAGCUUGAUAUGCUGAGACAGAAACUAGGUGAUAUUGAAAAUAGAGGAAGAUGGAGUAAUCUGGAAUUUUUUGGUUUUCCUGGGGAAAGUGUGAGGGGAAGUACUCCAGUUCAUUUGUAAGCAACACCAUUCCACAGGUGUACAACAUUAUCUUUCCAGAUAAACUGGAGAUCAAAGGGGUGAACAGAGUCAGAAUCAGACACCGACCAGUGCAAGGUCAGCCAGCAAGACAGAGAGCCCUCAUACCAAAAACCCUGAAAUCUGAGCACUGUGAACAUAUCAUUGGAGGUGCAUGGCGAACACGAAAAACCAUGACUGUAAAGUUCCUCAGUCAUUCAGGUCAUUUUUAUCCAAGAAGCAACCCACCAUGAUGUCACCCAAUGGUUUGUGAACUGCCGUUUUGAAGCCUCAAGUCGGACAUAUUGGCCGUCGCCAUCUCGUUUUUUUGGACUCAGAAGUAACCAUAUUUGGAUGAGAUGGUGGAGCUGGCGUGGAUUGAGGGUUGAAUCUGACUGAGAACCCAAGGACACUAUGCGAGCCCACCUAUACCAGCAACCUGACUGCACCAGGCUCUCGACUGAGGCGUCCUAAGUCGCUAACAAAGCCAAAGAUCAUUCUGGAUCCUGGGGACAGCUAUGUCCAGCAUGGGGUCCAGGUAGCCACAGACACCAUGGGGAGCAACCUUGUUGUUGAUGGUAUCUCCAUCCAUUGGUUCGACUGGGGAUGGCCUGAGAUGGAAGAGCCUUUCCCUUCUCCAAUCUGUCCCUGUUAGGAAUGGCAGUAUAUACUUCUCAUCUACUGCGGUGGGAAUGACCGAGGGGAUGUCUCAAGCGUCAACCUUGUUAUAUUCAUAUCGGAUAUGAAAAUCAUCUACUCUGGCAUCAUCCAGAGAUGCAGAUGGAAGGCUGGUGCCAAUCUGGUACCUCUGCUCCAGGGGCUGCAGAGUCUGGAUCUAUCACUGCAAACCACCUACUGCCCCCAUGAUCCUGCUUGACACCCACUGCUUCAUUAUUAUUAUAUAUCUUUAUGUGGUACCUGUACUUUGCAUCAUUUAUUUAGAGAGAGGUUGAUACUUGGGCAAAUUUACAUUCAAAUACUCUAUCAGGUUGCUUUUUUGUCCCUUUUAUUGUUACCUAAGUAAACCAAGAAACUGUUAACAUGAAUAGACUUCAGAAAGGGCUUCUUCCCCCAAGCUGUGAGCCUCACACACAAGCACCCGUGAUGAAUAAUGGCUCCGGAACUUUUUGCACAUUACCUCCAUUACUUAUGGACUGCUGCAAUAGCUUUUCAACUACGCAUUAGCAUAGCCCACCUACAGAUUGUUGCACUAUGCUCACUUUAAUUGUAAAGGCAGCUUUUAAUCCUUUACCCAGGCUUUGGACUACUCAGAGAGUGUACGGACUGCUGCACCAAACGCUGUAAGCAUAUCUAGCAUUUUUCUAUUGUAUUUAUACUUGUUACUAAAAAAUUAUGUUGUACUGAAGAUUCAACUACCUCUUUCUAUUAUGCAAACUUAUCUUGUGACAGUUCAGUUCACCUUUACCUUGAUCCUAAGCUGUAUUUUUUUUUUUUUAAGUAGUUAAGUAGUUAUUUAAUUCAUCCAUUUAUUUACAAGAGUCAGUAUUUGCUCCCGGGUAUGCUUCUGGUUGGUCAGUUCCAGCUUUUACCUUUUGAAGACCCUUUUGAUGUCAAAUUGGGAAAUACUUUCACAACUGAAGGUGGUGACUGGUUGAGCCAUCACUUAAUUCCAGUUUAAUAUUUCUAAAGUUCUGUUUUUAAAAGUAUUACUACCAUUAUCUAUCUAACAACAGCAGAAAUAAAGUCAAAGAUAAGAAACUGAAUCUGGCUAUACUAGAGACAGAGAAUAAGAAACGUCUAAAACGUUGGUUUGUCCUUUCAUCAGAGGAAGCUGAACUGGAUGUGGUUUUCUUGAAUCAUCAUCCCAAGCCAUUUGAAAACUAAGGAUGUUCUCUAUGCAGUCUCCCUUCUGCAUAACCAGAUGAAUGGUACCAAAUACACCUUCUGUUGGUACAAGUCGUUCAGUGUUCUCAGUGUGAAUAUCUUUUGAAUUACAGUAAAAGAGAAAGAUGCUAGAUAAGACAUGGUGGAUCACAAUGAAUCGAAUACAUAUACUAGCUUAUCAGGAUAGGUGCAUGAAUGUCUGCUUCAGUUGAGGACUAUGAUGUAUGAACUGUAUGAACAAAAUCCUACAUGACAAAUGUUCUCCUAUACUUGUGUAUUGAACAUAAGAACACACUUUUAACUUUUUUGUGAUAUUAACGAUGUGUGACUGAACAGCAUUUCUAAAUAGAGAUUCUAACGUGUGUAUGACUCAUCUUAAAACAGUGUCAUAUGCUAAAAGAAGGUCCUGACACACCAAAGUGGAAAUAAGACAACAGAGUAACACAGGGCCCAGUGUAAUACAUUAACAACAAAAGUGGUUCAUUUCAAAGUAAAAUAUCGGAAAGAUUUCCAUGUGCUUUAAGAAAGGGCUUUAGUCACAUCACAUUUAGGUGAGGGAUUUUAUUUCUCCAGGCUAUCUGUGCUGCAAUUUAUUAUAUAUUACAUUCAACUGUAGUGUCAGUCACUACUUUGAUCAUAUCCUUGGUGUUUAAUCUUCAAGUCUACAUUUUAGUAAAUACAUCUUUGGAUUUUUUUUUAGCACUACAUCAAACUUAAGAACCAAUGUCUAUGAUUUGUGUAUAUAAUGGAUCCAUUUUGCUUAUUUCGAAUCCUAAUUUCCUCUUGUCUCCAACCUCAGCUUCCAUCAUCAGCUAAAGCUAACACUAGCUAGCUAGUGUUGAGUGGUAACUAUUUCCACUCCCCGAGAAAGUUGAUGCAGCAAGGAACACACAGAGAGAGACGACUGUAGACAGUGCACUCAGUUUUAUUACGCAGUUUGCAAAGUGCGGAGAUCACUCCGUUACAGCAUAGAGCAUAUGCAUUCAAAGUGGUAACAAGAGAGAUCUGACUCGUUAUCUUUUAGCGAUGUCUUAAGUACUGUCUUCGCUGGAUCCUCCCCCUGCCCACUUCCUGCUUCCCGGAUCUCAUCACAGUCUGUUGUCUACCAUACUUGAGCUACCUUCUACUUUUCACCUGUUUUCAUCGUCUCUGAGACGAGUUCCCGUAAACCUCUCAUGCCCGAUGUAUAUAUGUAUUGCGUUGGGGAUACAUAGGAUGAUUAAUAUCGCAUGUCCUACAAUCCACUAUAAGCUUUUGGCGCUUUACAUCGGGUAUCCCCACACUAGCUUGGUUAGCAAGGUGUAUCUGUAAUUCAU